This 2934-nucleotide ribosomal RNA is filed under the name invertebrate metagenome. RNAcentral describes it as "bacterial LSU rRNA". It matches the Rfam family "Bacterial large subunit ribosomal RNA". The record is from RNAcentral.
AUAUAGGAUAGUGAGACGAGUACCCGGCGAAUUGAAACAUCUUAGUAGCCGGAGGAAAAGAAAAUAAAUAAUUAGCUUUUAGCUUUUAGGCUUUUAGGUUUUAGGUUUUUCCUAAUAGCUAAUACCUAUAAGCUAUAAGCUGAUACAUUCCCUAAGUAGCGGCGAGCGAAAGGGGAACAGCCCAAACCUAUCAAACUGCGAACCGGUUUACCGGUUCAGAAGGUUCUAGGACCAUAUGUUUAAUAGGUGUUACAAGAUAGUUGUGUUCACUUCCUAGACAAAGUGAGGUAGAGAAAAAUAUAUAACUUACCUAGUUGAAGCGAGCUGGAAAGCUCCGCCAGAGAAGGUGAUAGCCCUGUAAUGCGAAAGGUGUUAUUAAUCUACGACAGCAAUUCUUAAGUACUGCGGGACUCGAGAAAUCCCGUGGGAAUUCGGGUCGACUAUGACCCAAGGCUAAAUACUUUUUAUGAUCAAUAGUGAACUAGUACCGUGAGGGAAAGGUGAAAAGCAUCCCGGUGAGGGAGGUGAAAUAGUACCUGAAACCAUAUACUUACAAAGAGUCGGAGCCCACUCGUUGGGUGACGGCGUGCCUAUUGAAGAAUGAGCCAACGAGUUUAUGUGCGUGGCUUAGCUAAUUUCCGUUUGGAAUGUAGCUAUAGUGAAAGCGAGGGUUAAUAGCCCGUAUCUUACUUAUUAGAAAGUAGAUCCUUUAAUCUUCUUUCUAAUAUUUAAGAAGGUCGCGUAUAUAAGACCCGAAGCCGUGUGAUCUAACCAUGGCCAGGUUGAAUCCUUGAGAAAUCAAGGAAGAGGACCGAACCCACUAGUCGUGCAACACUAGGGGAUGAGUUGUGGUUAGCGGAGAAAUUCCAAUCGAACUCGGCAAUAGCUGGUUCUCCUCGAAAUAGCUUUAGGGCUAGCCUCGGAUGCUGACUGUUGGGGGUAGAGCACUGAAUGGGAACGGGCCGCAAGGUACCUUUCUCAACCAAACUCCGAAUACCAGCAGGUGUAGUCCGGGAGUUAGACUAUGGGGGCUAAGCUCCAUUAGUCGAAAGGGAAACAGCCCAGACCGUUAUCUAAGGUCCCUAAAUAUAUGCUAAGUGUAAAAAGUUGUGUCGCGACUUCGACAACUAGGAGGUUGGCUUAGAAGCAGCCAUCCUUUAAAGAAAGCGUAACAGCUCACUAGUCAAGUUGUUUCGCGCUGAAAAUUUAUCGGGGCUAAGCAUAUUACCGAAGAUACGGAUUUAUCACCUUCGGGUGAUAAGUGGUAGAGGAGCAUUUUUAAUCCACUGAAGCAAAAUCGUGAGGUCUUGUGGAGGAUUAAUAAGAGAGAAUGUUGGCAUGAGUAGCAAAAAGGCGGGUGAAAACCCCGCCCACCGUAAGCCUAAGGGUUCCUGGGCAACGCAAAUCGACCCAGGGUUAGUCGGUCCUAAGACGAGGCUCGUGUAGUGCGAGCGUAGCCGAUGGAUGAGCUGGUCAAUAUUCCAGCACUACUGCAGUUUUCCAAUGGGGGGACGCAGUUUCAAGUUUUGAGCGUUCCAUGGUAUGAACGUUAAUUGCCUUAAGAAACGAUCCAGGUAAAUCCGGAUCACCAGUUUCAAGGGGUUGUUUGAAGAUGAAGCUUCGGUGGAAUCAAUUCAAAAGGAGAGACUGCCUAGAAAAACCUCUAGGGCUAAGACUGUAGUAACCGUACCGCAAACCGACACAGGUAGGCGAGGCGAGUAGCCUCAGGUGUACGAGAGAACCUUCGUUAAGGAACUAGGCAAAAUAGCGGCCGUAACUUCGGGAUAAGGCCUCCCCGGUGUAAACCGGGGCGCAGCUAAAGACGCGCGAAUGACUGUUUACCAAAAACACAGCUCCCUGCUAACUCGUAAGAGGAUGUAUAGGGGGUGAUGCCUGGCCAGUGUCCGAACGUUAAGGGGAGAGGUGAAUUCCGGUUUACCGGAAGGCAGCUUUGAACUGAAGCGCGGAUGAACGCCGGCGAUAACUAUAAUCGUCCUAAGGUACCGAAAUUCCUUGUCGGGUAAGUUCCGACCUGCAGGAAUGGCAUAACAAUUUGCGCACUGUCUCAACGAAGGACUCGGCGAAAUUGCAAUACGAGUAAAGAUGCUCGUUAACCAUAGUCGGACGAAAAGACCCCGUGAAGCUUUACUAUAGCUUAAUAUUGGGUUAGGACUAUGCAUGUUCAGUAUAGGUGGGAGAUCUUCGGAUCAUCAGUGAGAUACCACCCUUGUAUAUUUUUAAUUCUAACUUGUAGCCUUAUAACAGGCACAAGGACAGUAUUUGGUGGGUAGUUUGUCUGGGGCGGAUGCCUCCCAAAAAGUAACGGAGGCGUUUACAAAGGUUGGCUAUCCCGGAAUGGAAACCCGGGAGAUAGUGUAAAGGCAAAAGCCAGCUUUACUGCGAGACCUACAAGUCAAGCAGUUGCGAAAGCAGAACUUAGUGAUCCGACCGUUCGAUAUAGGACGGCGGAAGCUCAUCGGAUAAAAGCUACUCCGGGGAUAACAGGCUAGUCUGGUCCAAGAGUUCACAUCGACGACCAGGUUCGGCACCUCGAUGUCGGCUCGUCGCAUCCUGGGGGUGAAGAAGCUCCCAAGGGUUGGGCUGUUCGCCCAUUAAAGCGGCACGCGAGCUGGGUUCAGACCGUCGUAAGACAGGUCGGUCUCCUAUCCACUAUGGUCGCGGAAAUUUGAGAAGUCCCUUUCCUAGUACGAGAGGACCGGAGAGGACGAAGCUCUAGUGUACCAGCUGUUCUACCAAGGGCAUUGCUGGGUAGCUACCUUCGGUUUGGAUAAGCGCUGAAAGCAUAUAAGCGCGAAGCCGUCUUCAAGAUUAGAUUUCAUAGAUUCGUGAGAGACUAUCACGUUAAUAGGCUCUAGGUGUAAGCGUGGCAACACGUUCAGCCGAGGAGUACUAAUAUAUCAUAUAAUUUUCCCA